Amphiprion ocellaris (clown anemonefish) is the source of this 844-nucleotide long non-coding RNA. NCBI's taxonomy places the organism in Eukaryota, Metazoa, Chordata, Actinopteri, Pomacentridae. The record is from Ensembl.
CAGCAACCCCAGCACCGUGCGCGGAGCCUCGGAGCACCGCGGGAGGGAAGAGCGUCCACCGCAAAGACAAAACCGAACCAGUAGAGAGAUAAUUUUGUAAAACGCGUCCUCGUAGUGGUUUUAUACGCUUUCUUUUGUGUUGUUUCUGUCUUUUUUUCUCUGUCGUCUGGAGGAGCGAGCGACCGAGAGACAGAGCUUCACUGCGGCUAAUCAAUUCGCGUUUCCAGACGUGGGAAUUAAAAUGAAAAAUGUAGGCGACACAUUUCCCCUCACCGUCCAGGAAUCACAGAAGGAGCCCGGCGAAUAGAGAAAGGAAGCAGGGGGGGAAAUGGUGCUGCAUCUAUAGGAUCCUCUCUGUGGAGCCCCUGCGUAAAAGGAAAAACAGUGUGAAAACUGGUGAACGAGUGGAUGUGAAGCUGUGAGAGGAAGACUCCAAGAAGCAGAAUAAAAGUGGAGGUUUCUCGGAGAACCUUCAGCUGCUUUCAAAGCCGAGGCUCCUCAUUAACUGUUCCUCCUGCUUUUCCACUGUAUUUAGUUUUAUUUUGGACAUACUGGGGAUCACGGUUGCUGACCUCAUCCCCUCUGCUUUUGUUGUUUUUAUUCCAAGCAAGACCAAAACCAGGUGCCAAACUGACUGUCAAGAGAAGAAGCAAAAAACUUGCACAUCUCCAAUUCAUCGUAUAAAGAGUUUAACUUUUAAUACCUGAUUUAGUAACUAACACACAGCGUUACUUUUCUCCCUCACAUUACAACACCUUACAUUAAAAUCACGUUUAAUAGUUUAUAUCCAUCGUCUCCAGUCAGUGUUUGCUGCUCUUAGUGCUAAAACUGCGUGACGUUUUUC